RNAcentral lists this ribosomal RNA (444 nucleotides) under uncultured bacterium. RNAcentral's name for it is "SSU rRNA". It matches the Rfam family "Bacterial small subunit ribosomal RNA", at positions 26 to 518 of the family's 1533-position model. The record is from RNAcentral.
AGAACGAACGCUGGCGGCAGGCUUAACACAUGCAAGUCGAGCGCCCCGCAAGGGGAGCGGCAGACGGGUGAGUAACGCGUGGGAACAUACCCUCCGGUUCGGAAUAGCUCAGGGAAACUUGGAUUAAUACCGGAUACGGCUUAGCGGCGAAAGAUUUAUCGCCGGAGGAUUGGCCCGCGUUCGAUUAGCUAGUUGGUGAGGUAACGGCUCACCAAGGCGACGAUCGAUAGCUGGUCUGAGAGGAUGAUCAGCCACAUUGGGACUGAGACACGGCCCAAACUCCUACGGGAGGCAGCAGUGGGGAAUAUUGGACAAUGGGCGCAAGCCUGAUCCAGCCAUGCCGCGUGAGUGAUGACGGCCUUAGGGUUGUAAAGCUCUUUCGCUAGGGACGAUAAUGACGGUACCUAGACAAGAAGCCCCGGCUAACUUCGUGCCAGCAGCCGC